Long non-coding RNA from Glycine soja, 398 nucleotides. RefSeq lists it as uncharacterized. NCBI's taxonomy places the organism in Eukaryota, Viridiplantae, Streptophyta, Magnoliopsida, Fabales, Fabaceae. The record is from RefSeq and is a predicted model, not a curated record. The transcript has 2 exons.
UGAUGGACUCUUCAAGGUAUUUCGUUGGCAAACUGGCAAUCUUAUUAGCUUUCUUCAUUGUGGCUUCAAGUAUGUGCAUUGAAUCAAAAGUAAAACCCAUUUUAGGGCCCAGUCGAGUACAAUGUUUCUUCGACUUUCAGUGUAAAAUUGGAUGUCCGUUUCCAAUUUGUGGCUGCAAUCUCAAAUGUGUUGGCCACAAGUGUCAAUGUCUAGGGUCAACAACUUCAACCAAUAAUUUUCUUAAUCGAGUACCCCUAGAUUGAGUACCAGAAUCUUGUGAUGCAAUUAUCAAGUUCUAAAUAAUAAUUGUUCAUUAUCAUGAAUAAUGAAUUAUUGCAUCUCUUAUGUAUCUAAACAUUACAUAAUCAAUACUAAUAAAAUUUAAGCUUUACUUUUUC